CGAGUCCAACCACAAAAAAAAAAAAAAANNNNNNNNNNCCCCUCAGCCUCCUCUUCUCCAAACUCAACAUGCCCAGUUCCCUCAGCCUCUCCUCAUAGGACUUGUUCUCCAGACCCCUCACCAGCUUGGUGGCUCUCCUCUGGACACGCUCCAGCACUUCAAUGUCUUUCCUGUAGUGAGGGGCCCAAAACUGAACACAGCCCUCGAGGUGAGGCCUCACCAGUGCCCAGUACAGAGGCACGAUGACUUCCCUACUCCUGCUGGCCACGCUAUUCUUGAUACGAGCCAGGAUGCCAUUGGCCUUCUUGGCCACCUGGGCACACUGCUGGCUCAUGUUAAGCCUGCUGUCUACCAACACCCCCAGGUCCUUUUCUGCUGGGCAGCUCUCCAGCCACUCUUCCCCAAGUCUGUAGCGUUGCCUGGGGUUGUUGUGACCAAAAUGCAGGACCAGGCACUUGACCUUAUUAAACCUCAUCCCGUUGUCCUUGGCCCAUUGAUCCAGUCUGUCCAGAGUGGCUCAGUGUUUUGGGGCUGUGACCCUUCCCAUACCCACCUCAGCUCUCCAGGUGAAACCCUCGCUCUCCUUUGCCUGUCCACGCUGCGUGACGGAUGCUGUGCCACAGGGAUGGAUCCUAAUGGAGUGUCAGGAGAGAAACAACAGCCUGAACAUCCCACAAUGAUUAGUUUGGGGCGUAGAGGAAUUAUUUUAUCGACAAAGCCGCUUCGUGAUUCUUUAUGGCUCAAUACAGCUGAUGUCCAGUCAUUGUUAGAGGAAUAAGGAGCGAGGCGUCGUUAGGAAGAUGACAUUUCCCAUAACAAGGAAAAAAAACCCAACUGUCAAAAACUGAUUUAAAAAAGAAGGAAGGUUUUUAAUAAGAUUUAUGGACAUAAGCAGCAGAGAAGAUCUCUGACACAAGACUUUUCGAGAUGCUCUGGACUAACAUUCUGCUUUUGAUCUAUAAGUUUAAAUGCCUAUUUUAGUCUGUCAUAGAUACUGCCUUGAGGUGUGUGGAGAGCUCACCAAAAUGCUUUUUGUCUGUCUGCUCAGCCAGAAAGAUGCAGUGAGGGUCUCUUUUCUUUCCCUGAGUCUAGGAUGUGA
This 1099-nucleotide long non-coding RNA is filed under the name Calidris pugnax (ruff). RNAcentral's name for it is "lncRNA (ENSCPUG00000006846.1)". Lineage: Eukaryota; Metazoa; Chordata; Aves; Charadriiformes; Scolopacidae. The record is from RNAcentral.